Non-coding RNA from Schistosoma curassoni, 45 nucleotides. The record is from Rfam. NCBI's taxonomy places the organism in Eukaryota, Metazoa, Platyhelminthes, Trematoda, Strigeidida, Schistosomatidae.
AUCCAGCUAACGAGUCCCAAAUGGGACGAAACGCGCGUCCUGGAU